UACGUAGGUGGCAAGCGUUGUCCGGAAUCAUUGGGCGUAAAGCGCGUGUAGGCGGCUAGAUAAGUCUGCUCUGAAAGCCCGGGGCUCAACCCCGGGAGGCGGGUGGAUACUGUCUAGCUCGAGUCCGGAAGAGGAGUGUGGAAUUCCUGGUGUAGCGGUGAAAUGCGCAGAUAUCAGGAGGAACACCAAUGGCGAAGGCAGCACUCUGGGACGUGACUGACGCUGAGACGCGAAAGCGUGGGGAGCAAACAGG
Molecule: ribosomal RNA, 253 nt
Filed under: uncultured bacterium
Lineage: Bacteria
Description: partial 16S ribosomal RNA
Rfam family: Bacterial small subunit ribosomal RNA
Source: RNAcentral